RNAcentral lists this transfer RNA (75 nucleotides) under Elusimicrobiota bacterium. Its description in RNAcentral is "Elusimicrobia bacterium (groundwater metagenome) tRNA-Glu". It matches the Rfam family "tRNA". Rfam says of the family: Transfer RNA (tRNA) molecules are approximately 80 nucleotides in length. Their secondary structure includes four short double-helical elements and three loops (D, anti-codon, and T loops). The record is from RNAcentral. Lineage: Bacteria; Pseudomonadati; Elusimicrobiota.
GGCCCCAUCGACUAGUGGUUAGGUCGGCGGCCUCUCAAGCCGUAAACACGGGUUCGAAUCCCGUUGGGGCCACCA